Molecule: ribosomal RNA, 433 nt
Filed under: uncultured bacterium
Lineage: Bacteria
Description: partial 16S ribosomal RNA
Rfam family: Bacterial small subunit ribosomal RNA
Source: RNAcentral
AGCGAACGCUGGCGGCAGGCCUAACACAUGCCAGUCGAACGAACUCUUCGGAGUUAGUGGCGGACGGGUGAGUAACACGUGGGAACGUGCCUUUUGGUUCGGAAUAACUCAGGGAAACUUGUGCUAAUACCGAAUGUGCCCUUCGGGGGAAAGAUUUAUCGCCAUUAGAGCGGCCCGCGUCUGAUUAGCUAGUUGGUGAGGUAACGGCUCACCAAGGCGACGAUCAGUAGCUGGUCUGAGAGGAUGACCAGCCACACUGGGACUGAGACACGGCCCAGACUCCUACGGGAGGCAGCAGUGGGGAAUCUUGCGCAAUGGGCGAAAGCCUGACGCAGCCAUGCCGCGUGAAUGAUGAAGGUCUUAGGAUUGUAAAAUUCUUUCACCGGGGACGAUAAUGACGGUACCCGGAGAAGAAGCCCCGGCUAACUUCGUA